GACGAACGCUGGCGGCGUGCUUAACACAUGCAAGUCGAACGGAAAGGCCCUGCUUUUGUGGGGUUCUCGAGUGGCGAACGGGUGAGUAACACGUGAGUAACCUGCCCUUGACUUUGGGAUAACUUCAGGAAACUGGGGCUAAUACCGUAUAGGAGCUCCUGCUGCAUGGUGGGGGUUGGAAAGUUUCGGCGGGUGGGGAUGGACUCGCGGCUGAUCGGCUUGUUGGUGGGGGAGUGGCUUACCAAGGCUUUGACGGGUAGCCGGCAUGAGAGGGUGGCCGGCGACAUUGGGACUGAGAUACGGACCAGACUCCUACGGGAGGCAGCAGUGGGGAAUAUUGCACAAUGGGAGGAAGCCUGAUGCAGAAACGCCGCGUGCGGGAUGACGGCCUUCGGGUUGUGAACCGCUUUCGCCUGUGACGAAGCGUGAGUGACGGUAAUGGGUAAAGAAGCACCGGCUAACUACGUG
RNAcentral lists this ribosomal RNA (468 nucleotides) under uncultured bacterium. RNAcentral's name for it is "partial 16S ribosomal RNA". It matches the Rfam family "Bacterial small subunit ribosomal RNA", at positions 28 to 507 of the family's 1533-position model. The record is from RNAcentral.